RNAcentral lists this long non-coding RNA (294 nucleotides) under Elaeis guineensis (African oil palm). RNAcentral describes it as "long non-coding RNA (EGUI_LNC030672)". Lineage: Eukaryota; Viridiplantae; Streptophyta; Magnoliopsida; Arecales; Arecaceae. The record is from RNAcentral.
UAGAGAGUGGUGCAAAGGCUGAUCAGUCUAAAGUGAUCCAGAGCCGACUUAUCAAAUCUCUUUGGAAUAAGGAUGAUCAACAUCUUCUUUCAUUGCUCAGGAAUACCUUUGAACCGACUCACCUCAUCUGAAAGAGCCGCUGAGCUAGAGAGCCACAAUUUCUCAUAGCAUUGGUACUCUAAUUUUCUAACAUUCAUUCUCCUCAAAUUUUGGACUCUAUUCUGGUCUACCAAGCCACGUGUCUCUAUUGAGUGGGAAGAAGAGUGGAGCCCCAUCCCAUCCCAUCGAAGCCAA